Molecule: ribosomal RNA, 780 nt
Filed under: uncultured bacterium
Lineage: Bacteria
Description: bacterial SSU rRNA
Rfam family: Bacterial small subunit ribosomal RNA
Source: RNAcentral
AGAGUUUGAUCCUGGCUCAGGACGAACGCUGGCGGUGUGCUUCACACAUGCAAGUCGAGCGAAUGAAGAAGGUAGCUUGCUACUUUUGGAUUUAGCGGCGGACGGGUGAGUAAUAUAUAGGAAUCUGCCCUAGAGCGGGGAACAACAGACCGAAAGGUUUGCUAAUGCCCCAUAGGUACGCAGUCUUCGGAUUGUUUAUUAAAGGAGUAAUCCACUCUAGGAUGAGCCUGUAUCCGAUUAGCUAGUUGGCGGGGUAAAGGCCCACCAAGGCUACGAUCGGUAGUUGGUCUGAGAGGAUGAUCAGCCACAAUGGGACUGAGACACGGCCCAUACUCCUACGGGAGGCAGCAGUGGGGAAUUUUACACAAUGGGGGAAACCCUGAUGUAGCGACACCGCGUGAACGAAGAAGCCUUUUGGGGUGUAAAGUUCUGUCGGCUGGAACGAAAAAAAUGACGGUACCAGCAAAGGAAGCAUCGGCUAACUACGUGCCAGCAGCCGCGGUAAGACGUAGGAUGCAAGCGUUGUCCGGAUUUAUUGGGCGUAAAGAGUUCGUAGGCGGUUAUUUAAGUCUGGUGUUAAAUACUGUGGCCCAACCACAGAACUGCAUUGGAUACUGGAUGACUUGAGUGCGGUAGAGGCGAGUGGAAUUCCCAGUGUAGCGGUGAAAUGCGUAGAUAUUGGGAAGAACACCAGUGGCGUAAGCGACUCGCUGGCCCGUAACUGACGCUGAGGAACGAAAGCCAGGGGAGCGAAUGGGAUUAGAUACCCUGGUAGUCCAA